AAUGAACGCUGGCGGCGUGCCUAACACAUGCAAGUCGGAUGUGCCGCAAGGUGCAUGGCAGACGGGUGAGUAACGCGUAGGGAAUCUACCUUUUUGUGGGGAAUAACGCUCCGAAAGGAGUGGUAAUACCGCAUGAGACCGUGAGCUGGGAUGUUCACGGUGAAACCUGGGGACCGCAAGGCCUGGGGCAAAAAGAGGAUCCUGCGUCUGAUUAGCUAGUUGGCGGGGUAAUGGCCCACCAAGGCGACGAUCAGUAGCCGGCCUGAGAGGGUGAUCGGCCACACUGGAACUGAGACACGGUCCAGACUCCUACGGGAGGCAGCAGUGGGGAAUUUUGCGCAAUGGACGAAAGUCUGACGCAGCAACGCCGCGUGGGUGAUGAAGGUCUUCGGACUGUAAAACCCUGUCGUCAGGGACGAAGGUGGCAGCGUUAAUAGCGCUGUUACUUGACGGUACCUGGAGAGGAAGCCCCGGCUAACUCUGUG
Molecule: ribosomal RNA, 485 nt
Filed under: uncultured bacterium
Lineage: Bacteria
Description: partial 16S ribosomal RNA
Rfam family: Bacterial small subunit ribosomal RNA
Source: RNAcentral